UACGAAGGGGGCUAGCGUUGCUCGGAAUCACUGGGCGUAAAGCGCACGUAGGCGGAUUGCUAAGUCAGGGGUGAAAUCCUGGAGCUCAACUCCAGAACUGCCUUUGAUACUGUCAACCUUGAGUCCGGGAGAGGUGAGUGGAACUGCGAGUGUAGAGGUGAAAUUCGUAGAUAUUCGCAAGAACACCAGUGGCGAAGGCGGCUCACUGGCCCGGUACUGACGCUGAGGUGCGAAAGCGUGGGGAGCAAACAGG
RNAcentral lists this ribosomal RNA (253 nucleotides) under uncultured bacterium. Its description in RNAcentral is "partial 16S ribosomal RNA". It matches the Rfam family "Bacterial small subunit ribosomal RNA", at positions 524 to 776 of the family's 1533-position model. The record is from RNAcentral.